This 501-nucleotide long non-coding RNA is filed under the name Anas platyrhynchos platyrhynchos (common mallard). RNAcentral describes it as "lncRNA (ENSAPLG00000030216.1)". Lineage: Eukaryota; Metazoa; Chordata; Aves; Anseriformes; Anatidae. The record is from RNAcentral.
UAAUGUGGCCAAAGCUGAGCAGUGAGAUGUGCUCCUCUGGGAACUGACAUUAUUCACAGUCCCUCUGCUGUUAUGAGGCCAGACCUUACAGUGAUAUUUCAGAGAAGGUUAAUCUGUUUUCUGAGUCCCUGCCAACUCCUAAACUCUUUUUAUAUGUAAGAUCAAUACCAAGGGAGAAAAACAAUAUUUUCACCUGGUGUUUCCUGAUACGGAUAUGGCAGCUAUGGGAGAUCAUAAGGUUAGGUAAGAAAUAACAUCUCUCUUGCAAAAAUAUCUUUUGGGUAAGUUUGCAUCACCAACUUUCCAUAUGUUGUAAAUUUUUACUUACUUACUUAAUUUGAAUCAACUUGCAAAAUGUUUCCUUUUACUCAGAGUGAGUGUUAGCAUCAACUCUUACCCUACAAGAGCAUAGCAACCUUUGUCUUGUGCGAAAAUAAUGAAUUAAUCAUGAACCUGAAAACACUGGGGAGUAGGAGGGAAGGAAGAAAAUCUGCUUAAUUU